GAAGCUGAAACGGGUGGAACCUUAAUGGUCGAAAGAGGGGAUUCAGGCUGCUGGGACUACUCCGGCGGCGGGUGCGGCGUUAUGCGAGGACCCGGCUCGAAUGUGAUGUGCCGUGGCUGCGCGCCCGCCAGUGCCGGAGGCCCGGCGGCUUUACUUCUCCCUCUAGUAGGCUCGUGGCGACCCGCUAGUUGUGCCCCGAAGGCCGUGGCGGACUGGUAGCCUGCACGCAAGUGGAGGCGAUAACCGUCUGCGGAUGAUGAUACGAGGCUGGGCACGGCUGGCGGUCACUGCAAGGAGGCUGCGAUGGACCUGCCUCGGCAGGGCCGGAGCGGCCUCUCGCCACGAUUUGAUAUUGGUCAUCCACCUGACCCGUCUUGAAACACGGACCAAGGAGUCCAACAAGUGCGCGAGUCUAAAGGUGAGUUAAACCUGGAGGCGAAAUGAAAGUGAGUCCCCUGUGUGGGCAGGCCGAUCCCCUGUCCGUUCGGGGCCCUGCGCGGGCUUUGGCGCGUAAGCGGACUGUCUCUGACAGGUCGCUGCGCUGGCUGCGGCGCGGGUGUCCUCGGGCGGCGGCCGGUCGUGCGGAGGCGGCUCCUGGCCGUCUCUUAGCUGGCCGGAGAUGGGGCGCAGGCCGAGGACUUGCCAUAGUGCGGCGCGGGCAACGGGGUGUUCUCUCUCUCGGGGGAGGGCGCUCUUAUCCCGACGUCCGCCGGCAAGUACCUGAGAGCGCCAAUGUUGGGACCCGAAAGAUGGUGAACUAUGCCUGGCGAGGACGAAGCCAGAGGAAACUCUGGUGGAGGUCCGAAGCAGUUCUGACGUGCAAAUCGAUUGUCAGAGCUGGGUAUAGGGGCGAAAGACUAAUCGAACCAUCUAGUAGCUGGUUCCCUCCGAAGUUUCCCUCAGGAUAGCUGGCAUUCAGGCCUGGAUGAGUUUCAUCCGGUAAAGCGAAUGAUUAGAGGCCUUGGUGGUGCAAUGCCGUCAACCUAUUCUCAAACUUUAAAUGGGUGAGAUGUAGAGCUUGCUUGGCUCGAAGCUCUACGAUGACUGGAAUCAGAAUGCC
Molecule: ribosomal RNA, 1060 nt
Filed under: Tuleariocaris zanzibarica
Lineage: Eukaryota; Metazoa; Arthropoda; Malacostraca; Decapoda; Palaemonidae
Description: eukaryotic LSU rRNA
Rfam family: Eukaryotic large subunit ribosomal RNA (bases 217-1060)
Source: RNAcentral